Molecule: non-coding RNA, 76 nt
Organism: Prevotella melaninogenica DNF00666
Lineage: Bacteria; Pseudomonadati; Bacteroidota; Bacteroidia; Bacteroidales; Prevotellaceae
Source: Rfam
GGGGAAUUUUCUUAGAACCCCAUACGAUACGUGUUAAUAGUGUUGUCUUUGGCCGGGCAGCAUGGUUAGGUCAAGC